CUUCGCAGAACCCUCUAUUCUUUCUUAUACACCAGCAAGAAGAGCAGAACGGCCAGGCCAAUUUGGGGAUCUUCCUUCCGCUGCAAGGAGGUCUGGCACAUUGUGAUAUAUUGGUAAUUUUAUUCAUCGCCAGCUGGCCACUCUGUAGAUAAUGGCUACACAGGGAAAGGAGGAAGAGCAUCAACAUUCAGGAGAUAACCAACAAGCAGCAACAAACCAAGCUGAUGUUGGCUGGAUGGGAGCGAUUCAGCAACAAUAUCGCAGAAUCAAAGAAAAUGCAGAAACCUACCCUUAUGUAUGGGGUUCUUAUAUUGUUGUGUAUGGUGGAUUUGGACUCUGGUUUGCCUACAGAUGGAGAAAGCUCAGAAGAACUGAGGACAGAGUUCGAGUUCUGCAAGAGAGACUCCGCAAACUCGUUGAAGCUGAAGAAUCAGCAAGUUCUAAAGUUGCUGAAAGUUCUACAGUAGGUGAAAAGGCACCAACGUCUUCUGAUAAAUCCAAAAUUUAGUUGCUGCUGUUCCCAAUUGAAUUCAAUAUGUUUCCUGAAAGCUGUUAAUAUCACACCUUUUGAUGUUUUAAAUGGGUGGAAAAGCGUUUGAUUGGUAAAUCUGGAGAAAAUUUCUGUGACAAUGAUUUGCUAGAGCUAAGUGCUAACAGAGAAAGCCAAAUUGUAGAGCGAGAAUGUUGUUGGUCUUGAUAUAGUUUUGCUAGACUGAUGUAUGUGGCAUUUAUUUCUGCAAACUAAUAUGUAGAAUUAGAUUCUUGAAAUUAUUUCCAUUUCUAUAAA
Molecule: long non-coding RNA, 787 nt
Organism: Coffea arabica (coffee)
Lineage: Eukaryota; Viridiplantae; Streptophyta; Magnoliopsida; Gentianales; Rubiaceae
Source: RefSeq, a predicted model, not a curated record